GGCCCCGUGGUGUAGCCUGGUUAACACACAACACUGUCAAUGUUGAGAUCGCCGGUUCAAAUCCGGUCGGGGUCGCCA
Molecule: transfer RNA, 78 nt
Filed under: Chloroflexota bacterium
Lineage: Bacteria; Bacillati; Chloroflexota
Description: Chloroflexi bacterium tRNA-Asp
Rfam family: tRNA
About the family: Transfer RNA (tRNA) molecules are approximately 80 nucleotides in length. Their secondary structure includes four short double-helical elements and three loops (D, anti-codon, and T loops).
Source: RNAcentral